CUUCUCAGUCAGAGUCUCUGCUGGCCAUGUUUGAUCCACUGUCUUCACAUGAAGGGGCUUCUGCUGUGGUAAGGCCAAAGGUUCACUAUGCUAGGCCAUCGCAUCCACCACCAGAUCCCCCAAUCCUGGAAGGAGCUGUGGGAGGAAAUGAGGCCAGGUUGCCAAACUUUGGUUCCCAUGUUUUAACUCCAGCUGAAAUGGAGGCAUUCAAGCAAAGGCAUUCUUACCCUGAGAGACUAGUUCGAAGCAGGAGCUCUGAUAUAGUAUCUUCUGUCCGGAGACCCAUGAGUGACCCCAGCUGGAACCGGCGUCCAGGAAAUGAAGAGCGAGAACUCCCUCCAGCUGCAGCCAUUGGUGCUACUUCUUUGGUGGCUGCACCUCAUUCAUCAUCUUCAUCCCCGAGUAAGGACUCCUCAAGAGGAGAGGUACUGAAGAACGCAAAGAUAGCGAUGAUGAGAAAUCAGACAGGAACAGACCUUGGUGGAGAAAACGUUUUGUUUCAGCCAUGCCUAAAGCUCCUAUACCAUUUAGAAAGAAAGAAAAACAAGAAAAAGACAAAGAUGAUCUGGGGCCUGACAGAUUCUCAACACUCACAGAUGAUCCCAGCCCUAGACUCAGUGCACAAGCUCAGGUGGCUGAGGAUAUUCUGGACAAAUACAGGAAUGCCAUUAAACGGACCAGCCCCAGUGAUGGAGCAAUGGCAAACUAUGAAAGUACAGAGGUUAUGGGUGAUGGUGAAAGUGCACAUGAUUCUCCCCGUGACGAAGCACUGCAGAACAUCUCGGCUGAUGAUCUCCCAGACUCUGCAAGCCAAGCAGCCCACCCGCAG
Molecule: long non-coding RNA, 829 nt
Filed under: Pan troglodytes (chimpanzee)
Lineage: Eukaryota; Metazoa; Chordata; Mammalia; Primates; Hominidae
Description: long non-coding RNA NONPTRT017608
Source: RNAcentral